This 379-nucleotide ribosomal RNA is filed under the name uncultured eukaryote. RNAcentral describes it as "SSU rRNA". It matches the Rfam family "Eukaryotic small subunit ribosomal RNA", at positions 587 to 972 of the family's 1831-position model. The record is from RNAcentral.
AGCUCCAAUAGCGUAUAUUUAAGUUGUUGCAGUUAAAAAGCUCGUAGUUGGAUUUUGGGCUGCGCGGGCCGGUCCGCCGUUUCGGUGAGCACUGGCCUGCGCUGUCUUCUUGUCGAGGACGCGGUUUCGGCCUUGAUUGGCUGGGGCGCGGAGUCGGCGCGGUUACUUUGAAAAAUUAGAGUGUUCAAAGCGGGCUUACGCUUGAAUAUAUUAGCAUGGAAUAACACAAUAGGACUCCGAUCCUAUUCUGUUGGUCUUCGGGACUGGAGUAAUGAUUAAGAGGAACAGUUGGGGGCAUUCGUAUUUCAUUGUCAGAGGUGAAAUUCUUGGAUUUAUGAAAGACGAACUUCUGCGAAAGCAUUUGCCAAGGAUGUUUUCA